This 317-nucleotide ribosomal RNA is filed under the name uncultured Methanolinea sp. RNAcentral's name for it is "bacterial SSU rRNA". It matches the Rfam family "Archaeal small subunit ribosomal RNA", at positions 1023 to 1338 of the family's 1478-position model. The record is from RNAcentral. Lineage: Archaea; Methanobacteriati; Methanobacteriota; Methanomicrobia; Methanomicrobiales; Methanoregulaceae.
AUCCUGUUAAGUACAGGCAACGAGCGAGACCCACGCCACAGUGCCAGCAUGUCCUCCGGGAGUGAUGGGGACGACUGUUGGGACCGCCUCUGCUAAAGAGGAGGAAGGAAUGGGCAACGGUAGGUCAGCAUGCCCCGAAUUAUCCGGGCUACACGCGGGCUACAAUGGUCAGGACAAUGGGUAUCGACACCGAGAGGUGGAGGCAAUCUCCUAAACCUGUCCUUAGUUCGGAUUGUGGGCUGCAACUCGCCCACAUGAAGCUGGAAUCCGUAGUAAUCGCGUUUCAAAAUAGCGCGGUGAAUAUGUUCCUGCUCCUU